Molecule: ribosomal RNA, 277 nt
Filed under: uncultured bacterium
Lineage: Bacteria
Description: partial 16S ribosomal RNA
Rfam family: Bacterial small subunit ribosomal RNA
Source: RNAcentral
UUAAGUCCCGCAACGAGCGCAACCCUUAUCUUHAGUAGCCAGCGGUUAGGCUGGGCACUCURGAGAGACUGCCAGGGAUAACCUGGAGGAAGGUGGGGAUGACGUCAAAUCAUCAUGCCCCUUAUGKDCAGGGCUACACACGUGCUACAAUGGCGUAAACAAAGGGAAGCRAARCCGUGAGGYDGAGCAAAUCYCAAAAAUAACGUCUCAGUUCGGAUUGUAGUCUGCAACUCGACUACAUGAAGCUGGAAUCGCUAGUAAUCGCGAAUCAGAAUGU